This 1543-nucleotide ribosomal RNA is filed under the name Campylobacter coli. RNAcentral describes it as "partial 23S ribosomal RNA". It matches the Rfam family "Bacterial large subunit ribosomal RNA", at positions 1390 to 2925 of the family's 2925-position model. Lineage: Bacteria; Pseudomonadati; Campylobacterota; Epsilonproteobacteria; Campylobacterales; Campylobacteraceae. The record is from RNAcentral.
CCUAAGUCGAGUCCGAAAGGGGUAGACGAUGGCAAAUUGGUUAAUAUUCCAAUACCAACAUUAGUGUGCGAUGGAAGGACGCUUAGGGCUAAGGGGGCUAGCGGAUGGAAGUGCUAGUCUAAGGUCGUAGGAGGUUAUACAGGCAAAUCCGUAUAACAAUACUCCGAGAACUGAAAGGCUUUUUGAAGUCUUCGGAUGGAUAGAAGAACCCCUGAUGCCGUCGAGCCAAGAAAAGUUUCUAAGUUUAGCUAAUGUUGCCCGUACCGUAAACCGACACAGGUGGGUGGGAUGAGUAUUCUAAGGCGCGUGGAAGAACUCUCUUUAAGGAACUCUGCAAAAUAGCACCGUAUCUUCGGUAUAAGGUGUGGUUCGCUUCGUAUUAGGAUUUACUCCGAAAGCGAAGAAACUUACAACAAAGAGUCCCUCCCGACUGUUUACCAAAAACACAGCACUCUGCUAACUCGUAAGAGGAUGUAUAGGGUGUGACGCCUGCCCGGUGCUCGAAGGUUAAUUGAUGGGGUUAGCAUUAGCGAAGCUCUUGAUCGAAGCCCGAGUAAACGGCGGCCGUAACUAUAACGGUCCUAAGGUAGCGAAAUUCCUUGUCGGUUAAAUACCGACCUGCAUGAAUGGCGUAACGAGAUGGGAGCUGUCUCAAAGAGGGAUCCAGUGAAAUUGUAGUGGAGGUGAAAAUUCCUCCUACCCGCGGCAAGACGGAAAGACCCCGUGGACCUUUACUACAGCUUGACACUGCUAUUUGGAUAAGAAUGUGCAGGAUAGGUGGGAGGCUUUGAGUAUAUGACGCCAGUUGUAUAUGAGCCAUUGUUGAGAUACCACUCUUUCUUAUUUGGGUAGCUAACCAGCUUGAGUUAUCCUCAAGUGGGACAAUGUCUGGUGGGUAGUUUGACUGGGGCGGUCGCCUCCCAAAUAAUAACGGAGGCUUACAAAGGUUGGCUCAGAACGGUUGGAAAUCGUUCGUAGAGUAUAAAGGUAUAAGCCAGCUUAACUGCAAGACAUACAAGUCAAGCAGAGACGAAAGUCGGUCUUAGUGAUCCGGUGGUUCUGUGUGGAAGGGCCAUCGCUCAAAGGAUAAAAGGUACCCCGGGGAUAACAGGCUGAUCUCCCCCAAGAGCUCACAUCGACGGGGAGGUUUGGCACCUCGAUGUCGGCUCAUCGCAUCCUGGGGCUGGAGCAGGUCCCAAGGGUAUGGCUGUUCGCCAUUUAAAGCGGUACGCGAGCUGGGUUCAGAACGUCGUGAGACAGUUCGGUCCCUAUCUGCCGUGGGCGUAAGAAGAUUGAAGAGAUUUGACCCUAGUACGAGAGGACCGGGUUGAACAAACCACUGGUGUAGCUGUUGUUCUGCCAAGAGCAUCGCAGCGUAGCUAAGUUUGGAAAGGAUAAACGCUGAAAGCAUCUAAGCGUGAAGCCAACUCUAAGAUGAAUCUUCUCUAAGCUCUCUAGAAGACUACUAGUUUGAUAGGCUGGGUGUGUAAUGGAUGAAAGUCCUUUAGCUGACCAGUACUAAUAGAGCGUUUGGCUUAUCUUU